Molecule: long non-coding RNA, 11736 nt
Organism: Mus musculus (house mouse)
Lineage: Eukaryota; Metazoa; Chordata; Mammalia; Rodentia; Muridae
Exons: 3
Source: RefSeq, a predicted model, not a curated record
UCAUGCAGUGUUCCGUGGUACCAUUGAAUGGAACACGAUUGCUAAGCUCUCUCUGCUAUGUCACUAUGACCCUUAAAAGCAGAGGUCUUCUCUGGCUGGUAGCAAAUCGAAACGGCAGGGAGAAAACAAAGCAUUAGGAAGAGCUGAACCACUGUGGUCGGCUCUGAAGGUGGAACAGGUCAAGGGCAAGGACCACCAGCCUAUCACAAAGGAUGAGAUGGCACAGGUCAAGGGCAAGGACCACCAGCCUAUCACAAAGAAUGAGAUGGCACAGGUCAAGGGCAAGGACCACCAGCCUAUCACAAAGGAUGAGAUGGCACAGGUCAAGGGCAAGGACCACCAGCCUAUCACAAAGAAUGAGAUGGCACAGGUCAAGGGCAAGGACCACCAGCCUAUCACAAAGAAUGAGAUGGCACAGGUCAAGGGCAAGGACCACCAACCUAUCACAAAGAAUGAGAUGGCACAGGUCAAGGGCAAGGACCACCAACCUAUCAUCAUAAGACUGUUUCCUGGAUGAUGGCUGAGUAAGGAACAGAAUCUACCAACAAUACGAAGGCGCUCCAAAGGAGAUCUCUUAGCCAGACAGGUAGCCAAUCCUGAUUGUAAUCUUGUGAGAGAUGAAGUCAUGUCCCCCUAGAUCUCUGACCUUCAGAACAAAAUGCGUGCUGCUCAGCUCUAAGCUUAAGGUAGUUUAUACAGAGUAGUAGAAAAUGAUACAUACUCUGUUCACAAAGAGGUUGAAAAGCCACACACUAUUAAUUUAUGCAUAUAUUUCUAUUUAUUAAAAAAAAAUAAAUCCUAGAACCCAGGAGGCAGAGGGUGGCAGAUUGCAGUAAGUUUAGGGUCAGCCUGGUCUAUGUAGUGACUUAAAAGGCAUCUGAGGCUACAAAUAGGGGUCAUGUUUCAAAAAAUAAAACAAAACAAAAAUAGACUUUAAACUUCUUUGCCCCCCUCCCUUCAUUUCUCUUUCUUUUCUGUUUGUAUCUGCCUGUCUGUCUGUCUGUCUACCUACCUACCUACUAUCUACCUAUCAUCUAUCUAUCUAUCUAUCUAUCUAUCUAUCUAUCUAUCUAUCUAUCUAUCUAUCUACCUAUCAUAUCAGGGCAUCCCUGCAUUUGAUAUUCUCCUCCUUCAGCUUCUCGAAUGCUGUGAACAUAAGAUUGUACCACCAUACCUGAUCUAAUAUUUUUUCUAAAAUGUAGACGACUUGAUUAAUGUUUCAGAGUAUUCCUUUUUGUCCCUAAAAUGGUCAACUAACUUUUGGAUAGACUUCUUAUUUGAAUUCUCUGGGGUCACUGGGCAGGAGACAUGUAAACUUUAUAACAACCACAGAGGGGACAGGCUGACUUGUACGCCCGAAACAAAUGUGUACUCAGAAGCAAAGCGUUCUCAGGCUGGGCAGGCAGCAGAAAUGAGCAAGGAAUGUAGGCCGAAGGCAGCAAGGAGCCAUGAGGAGUUUGUCAAUCGGAGAGGAGCCUCCCCAGAUAAAAGGGAGCAGCGGCUUUCACUUUUAGCUCAAUGCUGUUUUGAACUGACACUGUCCAUCAAUCAAAUGUUUGCCGAGAACUAGAUAUCGAUCUAUAUUUUGGAACUAGAGUUGCACACAAAAUAAGUGGUUUUAUUUUUUUUCUCACGGAGCAUCUUUCAGGCGAGUAAUUUAUUCUGAGUUUUUUCCAAAGGAAGCUAGAAAUCCAGAUUGUUAUCCCAAUUAAGCAUCUCCUUUUAAAAAGAAAGGAAAAAUAUGUUGGUUGGGAUUAAACACCAUCUCAUGGGAGGCCAAACAAGUUCACCGUCAUUGCAAGUUUGCUGCCCUAUUGGAGAACAAGCCUUAUCAGUGUGAAACGAUAUUAAAAGCCCACCCUCCACCACGCUGAUUUGACAUGCUGGGGAAAGUCUACAAAUGAGGAGACAAGACAAUGAAGCAUUCGUAUUAUUUAAGACAUGGAUUCCUAGAGCAGAAAAAUGGCGGCUUUAUCUUUUUUUUUUUUUUUCUCACAAGAUCAAGGCCCUGGUUAGCCUUGAGCUCGGGGUAGAGGAACCCAGUCUGGUGACAUCUCUGAAGCGCAGCCACAGGCCAUUGAAUCCCUCCUCUCUUUCCCUCCCCAACAAAGGGUCAACAUGUACUUUUGUGAUUACUAAAAGUGACCAAUAUUAAAGUUUUCUAGACAUAGCAUUUUAUAGAAAUCAAGGGAGAGGGCAAAUUGUUGACCAGGUCUCUAGCCAACUUUUCCUUUAUUAACAUUUUAUUUUUAGGGAGGAAAAAAAAAAAAGAAAAAGAAAAUAAACCCCCAAGUCUGGCAGGCUCUCGUUCCCAGGGCUCUUUGGAAGCUAGAGCUGUGUAAUUGCUAGACUCUCUCGGGAGCUUGCUGGAAGGAGUGGGAGGUGGCCAGCCAAGUCAAUCUCCCUGAACAGGGACAGAACAGGGUUGGGAGGAGGAGGAGAAACGGUUUUCCUGGCCCAGCUGGGUUUGGGGAAUGAGGUAGCAUUUUCUUAAGUGAUGGCAAAUAGAUGAUAGCUACAGACAAAGUUGGGGACACAGCUAGGGGGCACAGCAUCCAGAUUGGAACUUCCAUGAAUGGCAAAUUGGGUGCAUCCUUAGUUUACACUGCGUCUACACAGUUCACUCUCAGGUGAGGGAUCCAGGCUUCUCUGGCUGGCCAUUCUGGCCCUUGCCAGAGAUGGAGUCUCAUUUUUCUUGGGGGGCAGGGGGAGGUACUGCUGUUCAGGAGGAAGACAGGAUGCUGCUGUGAUGUUGCGAUCGAUCGAGGUAAAGCUGCAAGGAGAAAUUUACUUCUUGCGGAGGCUUAUCUUGAGCGCUCUCUGCUUCUGAGUAGCCAGCCAGUGGGGAGGAGCGGUGGAGGGAUGGCUUAGACAGGUAACAUGGAGUUGGCCAACACUCAGCCAAGUUCCAAGUAUUUACACCACGGCAAUUGGCAAACGUUACAAGUUAGAUCAUUUUCACCCUCAGAGAAGCCGUCUGCCCAGAUCUAGCCUGUCUGUAGGUGGUUGGGUGCUUACAAAAAUAAAAAUGGUAAAUAUACGGAAAAUCUAUUUGCUUCUCCAACCCUGCUUAUCAGGCUUUGGGGGAGGGGAAAGCAAAAUUCUAACAGAGUCGCUCAACAGGGCAGCAGUAAAUAAGAGAGCUUGUACUGUAGCUGGGUAUGACAUAGCUAAGCUGACCAGAUAAGAGAAAUGGCAGGACUUGGGGAAAACGAUCAAGCUGGCUUUGGCAGGUUCCCGUGGUCACCGAUAAGACCUUCCUGAGGAAUACAUGCAAGGUACAUGGCCCUCUUACUUAUUCUUGCAUCUAAGGCAUUUAAUUGCAACAGAUUAAGUUAUGCAUAAGGAUAGAUUAUAAAAGGAGCCUCUACCUAUUCCAGGAAGGGACCAUCCCAGACCACCUUAUAGACAAGGAGCCCUCUGUGAGGUAACUGAGGAAGACUGUAGGGUGUCUUGGUAACUGUGUUUCCCGAUGAUCAGAAUACCCCUUUAUGGCUAAACAUCCUUGAAGCUUCUGAUACAUCAGAAACUAAGGUGCCAGGGCAUCCUCCCAUACCUGUGUAUUAAUGAGGUCUGCAUCCUCAAAGGACAUGGGCGACAAGAUAACACCCCUUGCUUUGUGGUUUUGCAGAGCAGUUCUUUUGUGUCAAUCACAGGAAGAAACACCCUACAAGGGAGAUCCAGUCCACCAUGAUUUUGAAAAGAAGCCACACUGUUUAAGCAGCCAUGAUGUCAGAUGUAACAUGGCAGAGAAGCAGCCUCAUGGUGGUGGUGGUGGUGGCUUUGGAGGGAGGGUUUAAGGAAGCCCAAAGUACCAGAGGAAGCAGACGUAGAGUUAGCAUCUGAAAGAAUAUCACUCUAUUUUAAAUGGUUAUAUAAAACCCUGUUCAUAAGGGAUGGAGAUCUGUGUAGCAGGGUGUAAGAUCACAAGAGGACUCCUGAUUUUGAAGCUAACUUUAGUUGGAAGGGAAAAAGUACUCAGCACGGAAUUGAAGCACCAAGUACUAAACACUCUGCAUAAGGUUUCUGCCCACAUCAAUAAAAUACCUUAGUUACAAGUCCCAUGACCUUGAGCUGGAAAAGCCACCCUGUGUUCCUUUCUCUAGGCAAAGAUGAAGUUUCCAUGGAAAAUGUUCCCCCAAAAGAACGGCAUCCCUUUUGGGUAAAAAGCACUGUAAAAUGUUGGAUUUUUUUUUUAACUUACUUAGUUUUGAAUCGAAAACAUGUUGACAUAAUUCAGAACUUUAAAUCUCAGAGAUUUCUUCGAAUUCCUGUUCCCUGGAGGCAAAUGAUGUUGCCCAGCUAUAUACAGUUUUUCAUCUUUAUUUCUAAAUAUGUGGGGCUAUAAGACCUACACAAAGCAUUCGUUCUUCUCACCAAAAGACCUUGGCAAAUUUUCAAUUCCAUAUAUAGAAGUCUAUCUUUUUUUUUUUUUUUGAUAGGGCCUUGCUGUAAUAGUCAAGGUAGGGCUGGAAGGUACAGUCUUCUGCUUAGACCUCCUGAGUGCUGUAAUUACAGGCAUACACCAUGGUCCCUGACUUCUCUAUUUAGAAUAUUUUUUAAGACUAGGUUACAGUCUAGUGUGUGCAAAUCAUGUAAUUAACCUGCAUUGGUGUGCUGGUUAGUGUUAAAUACCAACUCGCCACAGCCUAGAAUUAUCCGGGAAGAGAGUCUCUACGGAGGAGUGUUCAGGAUCAGGUUGGCCUGUGGACAUGUCUAUGGGAGUUUGUCUUGAUUGUUAAUUGAGGUGGGAGAACCCACCCUUACUGUGGGUGUGACCAUUUCAUUGGGUUGGACCCUGCAUUGUCUAAGACUAGAGAAAAGUGGCUAAGAGCUAAGCAAGGAAGCAGGCAGCGUGGUUCUUGCUCUUGGCGGCUCUUGGCUGUGGAUGGGCUGUGCCCAUCUGCCUCAAGUACCUGCUGCUAUGUUUUACCUGCAACCAUGGACUGUAACCUGGAAUUGUGAGCCUUGCAAACGCUUUUCUUCCCUAAGAUGUUUUUGCUCAGGGUGUUUUAUAACAGCACCAGAAAGGAAACCAACACAUUCGGUGUGGGUGUUUGUGACCCUCCAGAUGCAUAGGUUGAAACCAGUUCUCCAAGGGUGGGGUCUUACAAGGUGAUCAGUUUGGGGAUAGGUGGGUGGAGCUCUCAGGACUGGGAUUAAUACUCAUAAAAAAAAGACCCCAGAGAGCUAGUCUGCCCACCCCUACCACCAUACUGAAGACACCGUGAAGCAGUAUUUUUUAUGAUCCACUUGACCUUAGAUUUCCCAAACAUUCAGAACUCUGAGAAAUAAACAUUGUUGUGUGUAAACCCUCCAUCCUAUAGCGUUUUAUUGCAAUAACCUAACCCUAAAAUUCCGAGUUGUUUGACAAGCAGUGUCCCCAUGGGUGAGAGUGCAUCUGUGUGAUAAAUUUCUAGAGAGGUGACAUAGUGGUGGAUAAAGGCAAGUAGGUCUUUGUUAGAAAUUCCUCAUCUCUGCUACUCAAGGUGCGGGACUGUGUUCAACACAAGUGUUCUUUGCCUUUUUGAUCCUUGCCAGCUUAAUAAGUCAACAGUGGUACCUUGGUAUGUUCUGAAUCUGCACACCCAUAUUGUUAUAAGUGAAGUUGCCUUUUUACCUCUUCUCAAGAGACAUUAGUAUUUCUUUGACUAUUUUGUAGUGGGUUGUGAAUCUUUUCCCCAUUGUUUUUUGUAUGAUUAAAACUAUUAUUUCUAUGAUUUACAAAUAAUAUAGCCCAGGCUGUAUGAUACUCUAUCAUGGGAGGAAGGAGGAAGAGACUAUAAACGAGAAGAUGCUGGUAGCCAGAAAGCCCUCCCUAUAUUUGUCACCGUUGGGAGAAAGGUAAUUAGAGAGCAAGAUGUCGCCAGAUGGCCCAGUGACAUCUUUUGUCUAUCUUAAUAUGGCUGGCAUGCUUGAACUUCUUGUCUCUUUCAAUGAAACACCUUCCUCCCACAGACUUGGGUGGGAUUUCUGUCUGCUGCCCUUCGAAAGACUCAGAUCUUCCUCAUAUGUCACAGAAGAGAAUCAGAGACAAUGUCAGCUCCUUUUUUACAUUGCUCAUACAUGGUAGGGCAGAGCUGGCCACGUCUUUUGCCUUACAAUGUCCAAGCAAGGGUCUGAAACUCAUUUGUCACAUCCACAAUUAUUAAGGGCCUUUCCCCACUUGUUUCCUCUUUUACUUUCGUCAAGACCGGGUCUUGCCACAUAACCUAGUCUGGCCUCAAAUUUCUGAUUUUUCUUCUAAGCACUGGUAUCACAGGUAUGAGCCACCAAGCCCAGCUUUGCCCUUUUUGGUUUUUUUGUUUUUUUAAUCAAAGUCACUUCCUUAUUCUUCUCUUAUGUGCAAGUGAUCAUGGGAGGUGCCAGUCCCAUCAGUCAUAGCACCAUGGCUGCAUAAUUAAUCCUUGUUUCAUCUCUAGACUAAAUUAUAGUCAUUGCUCUUUUCUUCCUUGACAAUCCUUUCCUUGGGAAAGGACCUAAGACUCCAGGCUAUCUUCACAUUAGUCUUUACGUUGAUAGCUCCUUCAAGGACCAUUUCAAAUACCCACAUCUCCAUUACCAAGCUAUCAUUGACACCCUGGGUGAAGAAUAAGCAGGGCAAAGCAAAGCACAAGGUCUGUUUCUAUCAACAACGAUGACAAGGGCCAGUCUAGACACCGGCUGGGGUGAGGAGAGUGUGGUGUGUGUGCAUACAGUGUGGUGUGUGUACACAGUGUGGUACCUAUACAGUGUGGUGUGUGCACACAGUGUGGCAUCUACACAGCGUGGUAUCUAUCCAGUGUAGAAUCUACAUAGUGUGGUGUAUCUGCAGAGUGUGGCAUCUACACAUUGUGGUAUGUGCACACAGUGUGGUGUAUCUGUACAGCGUGAUAAAUCUGCACAGUGUGGUAUCUACACUGUGUAGUGUCUAUACAGUGUGGUAUCUGCACUGUGUGGUGUAUUUACACAGUGUGAUAUCUACACAGCAAGCCAAAUAAGAACUAGUUGGGAGUGCUAUCACAGAAAAGGACACAUGCCUUUGUCAAACAGUGCUGACUCUGGGGCCUGGGGAGAUGGCAUGGUGAACGAUAGUGCUUGUUAUGGAAGCCAGAGGACACAGGUACAAUUCCCUAGCACCAGUGCUAAAAGUGUGUGACUGCGUCCAUGUCUGUUACCCCAGUGUUGAGACAGAGACAGGAGGAUUGCUGGGGUUUGCUGGCUUUUCAGCCUAUCGCGAGGUGCACUGAGAUACUGUGUCUCAAGGGAGUAAGGCGACGACAGAAUCCCACAGGAGUCCCACUUCUUCUUCUGGCCUCCGAGUACACUCCUGCACAGCACUUGCGUGUACGCGCCCUGCCCCGCCCAAGGGUAGAGCUAGCUCCGUUGUUUAACUACAAUAUCUCAGAGGAUCCUCUGACCCCUGGACAAGAUGCCCAUUCCCACCCACAGUUUGCAAAUGAAAAAAGCUGGGAACAAGACAGUCUUAGUGACAGUUCACUGUCCCAGAGCUUCAAUUUACCUUCUGUAGAAAACGGAGGUCCUGAACGCCACACCCAUGAAUACCACCACAAAGAUUAAAAUCCAACCAACAAGUGAGUUUACCCUGGACUUUUUUGUUUUGUUUGACACGGGCCUCUUGUAGCCCAAGCUGGCUUUGAUCUCAUGUAGUCCAGGCUGGUCCUGAACGCACUCGUACCUGAGAAUGACGAUGGCAUCCCUGCGUCUAUUUCCCAAGCUCUGGAACUGCAGGCAUGUGGCAACAUGGCUGGUUUAUGCGGUGCUGGAUAUAGAGCCUAAGCUUUGUCCAUGUUAGGCAAAGCCCUGCACCAUCUGAACUACAUCGCUAACCUUUGGGUGCUAUUUUUAAUUAUUAUUUUUUACCAGUUGUAAAGACUAGAAACCAGGAGGAGGAAUUUCAGAACCAUAAUUCUACUGGGUAUCUAGAAGCAACCUGCUUUGCAAGCUAGAGCAAAACCCCUGAGGCAUCCCACAACCAAGGGGGUUGCAUCGAUGCCACAGGGAUUUCCAUCAUCUUUGCAAGCUUUGGCAUGACUUCAAGGUCGAAGAUCGUCUAGCUGACCUCAGAGUAGUCUCGCCGUAGCUUGUCCGUGGUGUGUCGGUGUGCAGGGUAAGUCAGUCACGCUAGGACAAGGAAAUCCAGGCAGGUCUGUGCUUGGGACACAGGUGGGGACCUCUGUUUGUGGGAGACACGCAGGUGGGCAGCCUGGAGGUGAGAUUUAGGUGGAGUACACAGGACCUGGUCUGUCAUUAGCUUUAUGAGAUUCAAGGAGCCGAGGGUACCGACUUGCAUUCUGUUUCCCUCUAGAAUCCGGAGGGAAGAGUCACUGGGGUGUGGUGCUAACCAGGCAGGUGCUGUGAGACUCUGAGGGAAGACAGCAGUGACUCAGAGGGUUCCAGGAGGAUCUAGAAGGUUUGCACAGGCUGGGGCAAGCUCCUCACACGUCUAGCCACAGGCCACACAGCUUCUGUUCCAGAAGCGUCUCCUGCUACCUGCGUUUUUCGUUCGGCCUUGAGGCAAUAGAAAAGCCAGGAUUGACUCUCCCAAUCCACACUUGAUUUGAGGACACACGGGUUGAUUUUAUUAAAUGUACUAUUCGUUCUGUGCUGGGAUCAGGCCCUUUGGGAUAAUUUUGGUACCAGAGCAGACAGAUAAGAAUGCAUGGUAUUUUCUGAUGGGGGCCAUAGAAGAGAUAUGGGGACAGAACUGUAAGGGAAAGAAGAGAACACCACCCCGCUCUGUGUGUGUGUGUGUGUGUGUGUGUGUGUGUGUGUGUGUGUGUCUGUGCAUGCACGCUCUUCUGACAAUAUAGAAUUAGCUCUGUUCCCCAGUCCUGGCUGCACAGCACAAAACCAGGUAUCGUUGAUCUCCUUCCCUCCGACCUUCUAUGCUUCUAUGCUUCUGCAUCCACAGCCUCUUAUUUUUUGCAUGUCUUUCUGUAGCUUGUGUUGUAACUCAAUUCUCUUGCCUGGAUAACGGAAUAGUCCUGGGACAGGCCUGGCCCAAGCGACUCUGCUAAAGUGACACGUGUGUCUCUUCAUCUGACUACCAGAAUAUCGAAACAAUGAACGCCGAAGAUUUCCUCCAGGAAUCUCACCCUGGGAGAAGGAAAAGACAGGAGCUAGAUGGGGAAACUUUGUUUCCCUGCAAGAGAUUUCAAACAAUUCUAAGGACUUGUCAGACCACCUUACAGGACAAGACAGAAACCCAGAAGGUGACGGGACCUUCGUGUUUCCUCGUCUAAAGGGCAGUUAUGAUUCAGAACCAACCGGAAGCAAGAAACAGUGGACUGGCUUUCUUUACUCCUUCCCUGUUUUAUGUGUUUGAAAGUCUAGAUUGGGUGAAGGAAUACACCGUGCACAGUGAGAGCGAGGAGGAAGUGGAUGAAAGUUGGGAGGAGCAUGAGGCUUUCCUCAUGUGAGGGGAGGAAAGUUGGCUGUGGGGUCUGCUGAAGAGGACCUGGCUGGUACCAAGGGAGACUCAUUUUAGGCACCAGGAAUCCAGUCUCAACCAAUAGUCUUGUGCUGGAACCCAACCAAGAGGCGACGGUACUGCCCAUAUGCCCGAGCAGGAAUGUGCUCUCUGCAGAUGUCACAAUGCCUGGGCCCUGAGGACAUUGGCCCUAAGGGGGUUUGCUGGAUGGAGCUCUGUGAUGACUGACAUCUCAGUAGAAAGGGGGCUUUGACUUGAUUUCUGAAGAAUAAGCCAGUGCUUCAUUUCUUUCACGAUGGAGUUGGUGGAGCACGACCAAGCUACAGCUUUGUCUCCCGCGUUAGUCAGACUCCGUUUGGUUCUGAUACAGUAGCACGUUAGUCUUCAAACCUCAGUGACUUACUACCACCAAGACAUUUCUCAGUUACACUGCAUGACUAACCGAAGUCAUUAGGGACUCUGCUCGGUAGAAUGACUCGCAGCCAGUUUGAUGGACACAAAGCACCGUGAGGACACGAACUUCAGGGUCCUCGAGGCAACGAGUAAAACCAUGGGAUUCAGCACUGGCUUCCCAGUACUUUGUCAAGUAGUGACGCUGGCAACUGAGGUGAGUUCACGCCAUUAGUUAGAGCUGGUCACAUGACCCACCUAGUGGCUAGGAAUCUGGCGCUCUCGCAAACACACACACACACACACACACACACACACACACACACACACACACACACACAUUACUGCUGGGCAUAGUAAUGUCUCUGCUAUAGGGUUUCUUUUAACUUAACACCAUCAAUAAUGCACAUUUGAGUAGCACUCAUCUAAGGCAGAGCUUUGGGCCAUUUGGAUAUAUUACCUUCCUCUAGUACCCUCCAGCCCUGAAAGUGAACAGGAUUGUGGUCCACAAGUGGAAGUAGUAGCAGUUUAGUGGAAAAGAAUUGGAAGCUGAGUUUUGACCACAGCCUUUUCCUGUUCUCCCCACCCCCCAACCCCCAGCAGCUUGAGAGAAACUGAUGCCUUGUCAAGAAUUUAAUUUGAUGGGGAUGCAAAUUAGCACAGCCACUGUGAAAAUCAGUACGGCUUCCUCGGGAAACUAAAAAUAGAUCUACCACGUGACGCGGCUAUCCCACUUGGGUAUAUAUCCAACUUAGAACAGAGACCCUGGCACACUGCUCUGUUAGUCCCAAGACUGGAAACCAGUCCAGAUGCUCAUCACCAGAUGGAUGAAGGAAACGGGGUGCAGAUACACACAGGCAUCUGCAAUGGGGUUAAAGAAAAAUGAACUUAUGUCAUUUGCAAGAAUAUUGACUGGAAGGAGACAGCAUCGUGCUAGGAUAUAUAAACCAUACCUUUAUGUGUAGGGUCUAGAUUCAGAAAGUGACAUAAAAGUGGAAGAGGGACUGUUGGUGGAGGAGGAGAUAAGGAAGGGGGACAGGAGGGGAAAAGGACAAAUUGUAUGCUCCCUCUCCUAUGUGGAGUUCAGGUUUAUGUAUUACAUGUGGAGGGGACAGAAGAAGUUAAUGAGUGACUCUGAACACACCAUGCAGUGAUACACCGUAUGAAAGGAACAUAACGAAACCCAAUAUUUUUAUAUGCUAAAACAUUAAUAAGGAAGCUAAUUUGACUUUUUGAUGCCACUUUCCUGCAGCCUGGGAUUUUGGUGUUGGGGAAAUACAGGAGUUUGUCGUCUGUUUGCUGUUCGAAAAGCGAGGAGCACGCCGACAUUCAGUGAGACGAUUACCAAAGUCCCUGUUCCCUGACACAUACUCCUCCCUCCUCCCUCUGUGAUAAGAGCACGUCGCUUCCUCUUCCCAGGAGCUGGAAUCUGGAUGUGUUGCAAUGGGACCUCUUCACUGCCUGGUGAUGACCUUGCCCUGACCCUGAACUCCUUAGGAUAUCAGCAUGGUUACUACUUUCUCCAUUGUAAGGAUUUGGGAGCCAGGAACUAGUGCCACUGCCAGCAACUGGCCUUGUGGCAAACUCCAAGCAAGACACCAGAAUUUGAUCCAGGGAUAUGACCAGUACUGACCCAUUAUCAACACAGAGUACAACAGUUUACACUUCCAUGGAAAUAAAUCUGCCUCCCUAAUGUCUGAGCUUCCAUGAGGAGAACUGAUGCCCGAGAGCACUGGGCAGCAUGCCUCCUGAAUGCAUGUUCAUCUCGUCUUUGGUUCUAGGACCUGGCUGAGCAUGAGAUGGAGUUAAACUCAGUGUAAAACUUCAGUUCUACAGUUGGAAAUGCCGGACCUGAAACCCAGCCCUUCCCCCUCUCCUCCCUCUCUCUCUCUCUCUCUCUCUCUCUCUCUCUC